Molecule: long non-coding RNA, 570 nt
Filed under: Olea europaea subsp. europaea
Lineage: Eukaryota; Viridiplantae; Streptophyta; Magnoliopsida; Lamiales; Oleaceae
Source: RNAcentral
CACAAAGUGGGUAGAGGCUGAACCAUUAGCAACAAUUUCGGAGCCGAAGCUCAGAUCAUUCAUAUGGAAGUCUAUCAUAUGCAGGUUUGGAAUACCGAAAGUCCUCAUCACAGGUAACAGAAGGCAGUUCGACAAUCCACAGUUCAGGAGCUUCUGUGCCAACCAUGGGAUUGAUCAUCGCUUGACCUCGGUGUCACACCCACAAAGUAAUGGGCUUGCCGAAGUAAUUAAUUGGAUCAUAUUGCAGGACCUUCGAACAAGAAUAGGAUUGCCAAAGGUGACUGGCCUGAUGAGCUGCCUUCUAUACUAUGGGCAUAUAGAACUUCGCACAAGACAUCAAUGGGGGAGACACCCUUCAUGCUUGCCUUUGGACUUGAGGCUACCAUUCCAAUCGAGGUCAACCUUCCCACAAUAAGGAAGCUCGAGAUGAAUAAAGAGAGAAAAACUACUGAACAAAUUGACUUGCUUGAAGAAGUAAGAGAGAAAGCCUCACUUAGAGUUGCAAAUUAUCAGAACAAAACGGCGAGGCACUUCAACCACAAGGUCCAGAAAAGAAGGUCAAGAGCCGGC